UGUAAAUUGUAAUAUAAAGUAAUAUAAAUUGAAAUUCAAUAUUUUAGAUUUACUAUAACGUUUUACUAUAAUAUUUACUAAUUUAAAUUUUUAAGCUCGUUCUUUAAAGUUACACUUCUGAUACAAAUAGUACAUCAAGGAUCGGGGGGUUGAAGGGGAAAUCCCCACCUUAUUAAAAACAAUCUCUCAAAUAAAAUAUUUACCUUGAAUUCUUACACCAUCACCGUGAUUAUGAUAAUCACCAUCACCAUGCUUUGUAAUAAAAACGAAUGAUACUCAAAUUUCCUUUUUUACUGCUUCCAUCAUAGUAUACCAUUAGGCAAUUCAUUCAAUUAAAAAAAAUAAUAAUGAUAGAACAGCGAUAUUUAUAAACAUCACUCAUUACUUUCGUCGGAACAGUAGAAUCCAACUGUCUUUGUACUUUGUGUGAAUAAUUAAGCAACAGCUAGGUAUAGUAUAUAAACGAUGUCUACAAUAAAAUAGCAAACGUUGUAUCAUUUAUUUUGAAGUACAGUUUAUUUUCUGGGUUGAAAUGUCAAUGUAAAGCAUAAAAUACCAUUCAUCAUGGUGGCCCAACCAGUAUAUAAUAUUAUAAAAGUCAUAAAAACGUACACCGAUGUUUAAGUAACAUCGACGACGAAUACCAAAACCAGAUAUAGAAAUUUUAAAUAUAUCUACUCAAGUUAUAUGUAACUCAGGUGCGUAAGACAGUGUUGUAUUGUGUUAUUAUGCACUCGAAAGCAGAUAUAAAUCAUCACUGCAAUCAGAAAGCAAUUUCCUGCAGUUUAGCAUCAGCACGCAGUAAUGUCACCGUAAUUCAAAUUCAAGUAAGUAGGUACAUUGAUAACAAAUCGUGUGAAAAACGAUUAUCUGAUUUUUUUCUUGUAGUACGAAUAUGGUACAAUUUCUUACUACUUCUACUAACUUUGGGUAACUAGGUAGGUUUCCAAACAUGAAAAAAAAUAACAACAAAACAUGUAUAUAACUUUAUAAUAAUAUAGAAUUCCAAUUAUUAUUCAUUUCAGUGUACACCAAAUAUAACCAGUUUGUUUCAAUAAUCAUCACAUCAUGACAGAUUUAAUUUUUAUAAACGUGAAUAAAAAUUCCGAGCUUUUAAUUCCAUACAAAUCUUGUAUAAUUCGUCAGAGAUAAAUCUAUUUAAUUUAAUAAUUUAAUACAAUAAUACAAUAAAAGUUUUUUUUCCGUACCACGUGUUAUGAAAUUAAGGUUUAAAUCAUAAUAAAAUACAUUAUUGAGUUAAAUAUAAUAAAAUGGGACUGUUAAUAUCAACACUAUUAUAUAAGUCAUGUGGUAAGUAAAAAUAAAGAUAUAACGUCAUUAUCUCCAAAAGCUAAAUAAUGAUGAUGCUAUUUUAUGCAACACGCUAUAAUAUAAUAUUAUAACUAUAGCGACGUAAAAUAUAAUAUUACAUACAAUUCACUCGGAAAAUUCAUUAUUAUAUUAUUAUAUUAAUGUGCAUACACGGCUACUGUGACACAACGAUGAUAAAUUAAUAAGUAAUAACCAUUCACAGAAUCAUAAAAAUUAAAUCACUAAUACUACCUAUUAUACUUUAAUAUUAAAAUUCAUAACAAUAUAAUAUAAUAGUAUAGGUAUAUCAAAUGAUACAUUGGAUUUUACCUUAAAUAGAAACAUCUGCAGUGGUUAUAAUAUAAUAUGUGCCACUAUAUUGUAGUCGGAUUUGAGAUGUAUACAUUUAUUACCAUAUGUGAAUACUGUUUGGAAAAAUAAGAACGGUACCUAUGUUGGAACGAGUUUAUUUUUAGAACGAAGAAAAAUGUACUCGAAUGAAGGCCGUACCCGAGCAGCCCUCAUUGUUCUGGUGUCUGCGAGAUAUACCCAUCGCGGAGUGAUAGCCAUGCCCACUUUCAAAGUUGACUAUAAUAUUACGGAAUGGGUUGAAACGGGACUAAAAGUAAAAUCCAACUCAAGUACUCAACAACAAUAGGAUUUCGGAUAUUGCGAACAAACAAGUUUGAUUUAAACCCUUUAUUUUUAUUGGUGUAUUCAAUUAUAUAUUUAUACACCCAACAUAAAUAACUAAUGGGGAUAAACGAGAACGUACAAAAUAUGUUGUUCAACAGCAGUGCUGCUAGAUACUUUAUGGACUCGGAUAGUUUUUUACGUCGCAAGGUCGUUUAUUUUUGGACCAGACUUUGACAUGGUAAUUUUCAAUAACAUGACGUUAUCUCUGAAAAACGAUAUGUUACGAAUUACGAUUGCCCUCCUGCUAUCGCAUUCGCAGGGCACUUAUAAUAAUAAUAUAGCAUGCGGUGAAAAUACAACGUGCGAAAUUCCUAUUCUACGUUGUUGGUUUUUCGUAACGUUUAUCCGAUUUGACAGGGAUUUAAAAUUAUACGGAACUUUGGUAUAUUAUAAUAUCCUAAUAUAGGUGUACUGUACAGAUGGCUAUGGUAGGUACAUAUACAUAUGAAUGAAACCUCCACUAACGGAUACCUCCAAAUAGCGGACGUGGUUUUGGGAACAAACUGAGUACAAACUGAAUCCUCUGAAUAGCGGAUAACAUUUCAGUGACCGAGAGUGACCGGUGUUUAGCGGUUUCAUUGUAUCAAAUACACGCGUAGAUUUAUCAUCUCUGUGGACAUUAUAUACCACUGAACAAUGUAUUUACAUGGAAUGCGUAUCAUGUAUAAUUAGGUAUAUAUCAUAUUAUAUUAUGAACUAACAAUGGCCUAUACGCGAGCCACCGUAAAUACAUUCCGAUUUGAUAUUCAAUAUUAAUUAUGAUAACAAAUUUCGUAGAUAACACAACAUUUCAUCAUGUUUCCCUUGACUCGGAAUGCAUAAUAUGGUGACUUCCUAUCAGGAUCAUAUUUUGAUGAAUACACGCAUUCCAUAUAAUAUGUAUUUUGUUCAGUGCAUUAUGCAAAUUACGUGCGUAUACAGAGUGGUUGUUGUCGUCGGAGUUGCGAUCGUGACUAUUUUCGCAUCACAAAUCGGUCGGCGAAAAACACAGAGCGAACCUUAUUGUUGUUAUUAUUGUUUUUUAACGACGCGCUCUCCUCUGUAUUAUGGCGCACGCGGCAAUCGUCAUCCAAACCUAUACUAUUUCAUACACAAACAUAAUAUUAUAGUCAUAGUUCUAUUCAACAUUGUCGGUUUUUCGUAGAGUUUAUCAAUUUUUUUUUUAUUAUUUAUUAACCCUUGGCAACAUAGGCUAUAUGAUCAUAUUGGUUGUAAAAUAAAUGUUGAAUUUACUUAUUUCACAAUAUUACAAUUUUGUUGUACUUAAAUAAAUGGUUUAUUUUUCGAUUGGUUUUUACAGAUUUUCAAUAGUAGUUAGGCGGCACUGCUGUAGUGAUGGAAUUGUAGACGUUUGAGGGUGACUGAGGAUGAUUGUGUAGCAUAUUUCUGGUAUUCAUUCGGGAAUAUUGGAGUAUGUUCUGGUGUGGAGAUACGUUCGGUAUGCGGAGUGAUGCUGCAGGAUGAAACAUGUGGAGCAGCUGCUAAUCGUUCGAUUGAGUAAAUAAUCUGACUAAAGUCGAAUUAUCAUUAGAAUUUUAAAAAUUAUAAUAAAUAAACGAUGAACAAUGUAUAUUAUUGAUACUGAUGAAACUGUAAUACCUACCUAGGUUAUAGCUGUAUUUUGUCAGAAAAUAAAGAAUGCAUAAAAUGUCCACGAUGAUUAUUGAAAUGUUUUCUGUUGCUAUUGUUAAAUAGCAGUUCUCUGUUCUUUUAAAUAAUUUUGAUGAAGAUGAGCCGGCGAAGACGGCAGAAACAGCCAAUGAACAAAAUGAAAAUAAAAUGCAAUAGAUAUGAUGAUUAAUUAUUAGUCGAGGCUGUAAACAAAUAUUUCCAUACAUUAUAAAAUGUAUAUUGUUAUUGUUUUGAUUUUAUCUUUUUUUUUUUAAAUCGACCUAACUUCAAUGUAAAGUAUUUUUUUUAUGAUUUUUAAAAUAAAUAAUUCAUGAAAUACUGCUUGUAGACUUAGUUUGUACACACGAAUUUAAAAAAUCAGCUCAAUAUUGAUCUAUCGAAAAAAUUUAUAAGGUAUUGUGUUAAAAUUAUAUUCAGUUUACUUAUUGUUUAAAAAUCAAUAAUAAAUAUUGAACAGUUGUAUAUUAUUUUAAAUAAUAAUUGAAAACAUUUCUAUACACUGCAUUUUAGAUUUACAUUUAAAGUAUGUAGUGCAUAAUUUUGAAAAAUGAAUUUCUUUGUGAUUUUAAAUAAUUAAAUAUAUUAACUACAGCCUAUAAGUAUGAACUGAACGCAUUUUAUGCGUUGGUAAAAUAAAAUAAGUUGAUUUUUGCGAAGCUGUGGUUAAAAUAAAUUUAUAGUUUUUAGGUUUUACUAAGGUCACUAUACAGAGAUGUUGGUUUGAACCAUUUGACUGGAUGUGUAAAUACGGGCAUCGUUCAAUAUUGCGCCUAAAACAAAGUUUUUGUUUAGGGUCAGUGUACCAAUUUUGCUCCUUAUAUUUUACGGUUAGUAUACCAAUUGCGCUUAUAUUCAAAUUUCUUUACUUUCAGAUAUGAAAAUCAUGUUGUUCAAUUUAAUUCCAUCAACAUCAACAUAAACAAUCAAACGAGUUUUGUUUAAUUUCUUAACAUAAUAAUAUUAUGUUUUUUUAUUCAUAUGAUAAUACCAUUGAUUAUAAAUACUAGUAUUUAUAAUCAAUGACAAUACUUAUCAAGUACACUCUAGACACAUUAUUUUAAGUCCAAAGCCUAUCAAUAUUUUAAAAUGAUAUUUUACAUUUUUAUUGUUAUUACACUCUUCCUAAAUAAAUAUAUUUUAAUAAUGCUUACAAUCUCACAUUAUAUUAAAAUAUUUCAUUUUACAAAUUAAUAUAUUUCACCCGCAUACAUACUAACCAAGAAUACUACUUAAAAGUUUUGAAACCACAUGCAUUUUUUAAAAUAUGUUUGUUAAAAAUAUGCAUUGACAAUGACAAGACAUGUACAAAAAAAAUAACAAUCGGAUAUGUUUUAAAUGUUAUAAAGUUCCAAGUGUUUACAAAAUACUAAAAAUAUGUAAUUUUGCAAAUAAAAAGAGUAAGCAAUGUCUCGUUAAUUUAUAGAAUACUAUUAAUAGGCAUAAUUGAUCAAAUUGUAUUUAUACGAUAAUUGCAAUUUCAACAUUUUUGAUUAACAUUCAAAUGCCAGAAAAUUUUACUUAUCGAUAUAUCCAAUUUUUUUUAAUAAAUAUUUAAAAUACCUAGGUAUAGGAAAUCAGUUUCCAGGUACUAACAAUCGAUAAAAUAGUAUUAUGUUUGUUAUAUUCCGAGUUCAUCCACGAAUUUAUUGGUUUUAUACAGUGAUAUAUAUUUUUUUACGUUAAUAGUUUAGAGACUACAACUCGGGAAUAAGAAGUUUUCCAAAAGUUUUAAGCAGCUUCGUAUAUAUACAUGGAUUAGAAAUCAAGUCUAGUUGUCACUUAAAACGGAAUUUUCGAUUUUCUCAAUAUCUUCACUAUAUAACCGUGCGAAAAAUAACUUAUAACGGUCGAACAAUUUUUGAAGAGAUCUUUGCAACAACGAUUUUGUCACAGACCUCUGUGCUAGGAAUAGUUUUUUUUUCAUUAUUUAUAGUUAUAGUAAUAUUAAACCACUGUCUUCCUUUAAUAUGAGCACGGAAAAGUUUACAAUCCAUACUUAAUCUCUGUUUAUUGAGUAGCUUUUUAAUAUUGUGUAUCGUAUAGUGGUUAUAACAUAUACGUUCUAUAAAUAAAACUAUUUACAUUUUAGAUUUUCUCUAAUUUUAUAAAAACGUUUCUUGCGACUUUUAUUAUAUAGCAAGAAAUAAAAACAAAUAUCGUUAGUUAUUUUUUGCUUUUUAAUUAGAUGAUUGCCAUCGCUAUGUCAUUAAUUACAACUUGUAUAAUAGUUGUAUAUUAUAAUAUAAUAUAAAUUAUUGUAAAAGAUAUUUUUUGAAGUAUUGAAGUAUUGAUAUAGAUACUAUAAAAUAAAAAUACAAAUACUUUGAGUAGUAACCUACCUAAAAAGUAUUUGAUCACUAUUACUCAGCUAAUUGUAUUCAAGUAGGUACUUUACAAGACUGUUUAAUUGCGUACAUUUUAAAUGUAUUUUACAUAAUAUUAAAUAUACAUAUUGUCUUGAUUAGUUAGGUAUGUAGUUUAUAGAAUAAUGUCUUGUUUAUAUUUGCAAUAUUUGUAACUUAUAUAAAAUUAAAACUAAUUUAUGAUUGAUUACCAAUAGUUUUCAUUAUUACCGUUUUUGCAAUUUGCCUAAAAGUUAAACUUUAUUUUCUAGGUACUGGUACUCUUAUCCAAUAUAUCAUCAAGUUUAUUAAAAAUAAUGAACGCAUAAAAUAUUGAAUAUGUCCACAAACAAAAUGGAGGGUAAAAUUAAAUUAUAUUUUCUGGAAACAUUGCCGGGGAAGGUAGAUUUUGUUCCGAUUUUUUUUCGUUGUUUUGUUUUAAGUCAUCAAUCUCUAUAUGUACCUAGACUUGUUCAGUAAAUAUGAUGCUAAAUAAUAUGAUGAAAAAAAGGCCACGUGUGAAAAGGGUACGAAUAACGUAUUGGUUUUUAGGACAGUCAGUAUUAUAAAUUCGAUUAAAACUCGUUUAAAACAAAAUUCUCAUACGAACCCUUUUUAGCACGAUUUUUUUUCCAGGACCAUUAUUACUACCAGAAAAGGGUAAAUAAUAAUAACAAGUAUACAACGGUGUGGACAUCGAACAUACGUGGGGGGGGGGGCAUU
Molecule: long non-coding RNA, 6704 nt
Filed under: Acyrthosiphon pisum (pea aphid)
Lineage: Eukaryota; Metazoa; Arthropoda; Insecta; Hemiptera; Aphididae
Description: uncharacterized LOC115034314
Source: RNAcentral